UACGCAUGGGGCUAGCGUAGUUCGGAAUCACUGGGCGUAAAGCGCACGUAGGCGGAUUUGUUAGUCAGGGGUGAAAUCCCGGGGCUCAAACUCGGAACUGCCUUUGAUACUGCAGAUCUCGAGUCCGGAAGAGGUGAGUGGAAUUCCUAGUGUAGAGGUGAAAUUCGUAGAUAUUAGGAAGAACACCAGUGGCGAAGGCGGCUCACUGGUCCGGUACUGACGCUGAGGUGAGAAAGCGUGGGGAGCAAACAGG
Molecule: ribosomal RNA, 253 nt
Filed under: uncultured bacterium
Lineage: Bacteria
Description: partial 16S ribosomal RNA
Rfam family: Bacterial small subunit ribosomal RNA
Source: RNAcentral